UACGUAGGGGGCAAGCGUUGUCCGGAUUUAUUGGGCGUAAAGAGCGUGUAGGCGGCCUGGAAGGUCAGCUGUGAAAACUCGAGGCUCAACCUCGAGACGUCGGUUGAAACCACCUGGCUAGAGUCCGGAAGAGGAGAGUGGAAUUCCCGGUGUAGCGGUGAAAUGCGCAGAUAUCGGGAAGAACACCCGUGGCGAAGGCGGCUCUCUGGGACGGUACUGACGCUGAGGAGCGAAAGCGUGGGGAGCAAACAGG
RNAcentral lists this ribosomal RNA (253 nucleotides) under uncultured bacterium. RNAcentral's name for it is "partial 16S ribosomal RNA". It matches the Rfam family "Bacterial small subunit ribosomal RNA", at positions 524 to 776 of the family's 1533-position model. The record is from RNAcentral.